UUUUAUAGCCGUUUGAAAGGGAACUUGCGGAAAAUGAAGAGAUCAUCGCAACUCAAGUUGCAAUUCCCUCUUUUUGAAACUGAUGUGUUCGAGGCCGUCUCCGGAGCCUUCAUCAUUGACUCGGAUCUCUCUUUUGAAACAUUGGAAAAGUUUUUUGCACCGUUUAUGAAUUCGGUCUAUGAUUCACCACCUGUCUCCCCAUUCAACCAAUUGGAAAAGACCCCGGGAAUAACCUUUCAAAAAGGAAAGGCACGCCCUGAUGGCAGACCGAACUUUUCGGUUUAUCGAAACGGCGUUCUUCUUGCAACCGGUACAGACGAUAAUUGAAAAAAUGCAAAGUUUGCUGCCUCUAAGUAUGCCGCAUGGAAGAUUGAGAUGGGACUUAAUUAACUUUUUUUUCUUUUCAUUUGAGCAUUGAAACAUAUAGCUGACUUUUUUGAAAAAAGUUUUCAGUUUCUUUUGGUUUCUUUUAUGCGUAUUGUGCAAUACGGUAUUGCUCUCAAUAAAUUUGAUACGGCAAUAGAUUUCUAAUUAAUUGCAUUCCCUGCACAGGUAACGAACUCUAGCAUGGAAAGGUGUAGGGAAAAUCUAAGAAUGAACAGCUAAGGAUACUACGAGGAGGUGCCGGUGGGGUGGCAGCUCCUCUCUUGGUAAGCAAAUUGUCUUGAUGCACUUUGCUUGAAGUGUUUAAAGCUCAAAUAUUUUCGAAUAUGAUGGUUUAACCACAGAAAAAAGUUGUGAGGUCAAUACCGGGCUUCAUAUGCAGUAGUUAUAUGUCGAGAAUAACUAACUCUGUUUCUAUAUUGUAUUAAGAACAAUGAUAGAAUACAGUUGAGAUAAGUGGGCAAAACUGAAUAGUUAAGGGGCUUGGAAAAUUAGAGAGAGAGAGAGAGAGAGAGAGGCCGACUCUCGUCGUCGUCGUCUUGUUCUGAACUGCCCGUUCUCGCCAGGGCGCGAAAGGGCUCGACGACUUUAGACGAAGGGGGAUGGGGAAAAGAACAGUGUUGACAAAUUAGGGCAAUAAUUUUCGACAUUAGACAAAUGAGAUUUUUAGUGAACCCGGAGGAGGAGGACGCAAGGGGUUGGGCAGUGCAGCAUUGGAACAUUUUUUGGAAAGUUCCCC
Long non-coding RNA from Daphnia pulex (common water flea), 1123 nucleotides. RefSeq lists it as uncharacterized. The record is from RefSeq and is a predicted model, not a curated record. NCBI's taxonomy places the organism in Eukaryota, Metazoa, Arthropoda, Branchiopoda, Diplostraca, Daphniidae. The transcript is spliced from 2 exons.